This 4062-nucleotide long non-coding RNA is filed under the name Struthio camelus australis. RNAcentral's name for it is "lncRNA (ENSSCUG00000017410.1)". Lineage: Eukaryota; Metazoa; Chordata; Aves; Struthioniformes; Struthionidae. The record is from RNAcentral.
AUGACAUCUGCUUAUGAAAAAUACCACAGGGGAUAAAGAAACAGGAAGACAAGAGAGUGAUCUAAGAGGAGGAAGAGAAAAUCAGAAUGAACAGGAAACUAGAUAAUGCUGUGUGUUCAUGCAUGCUAAAAUUUUUAACCUUCUUGAAGUCUAAAAGGCAGGAAAAUAGAGUCUUCUGGCUACUUCAGCGUUGUAAGUGAUUGUUUGGCACAAAAUACAUUUCCAGUCUGCUGAAACACAGGCCUCAUCUUGGGCAAUGAACAGGUAAGUUGCAGCAAGCUUCAUUAUUAUCCCCCCACUAUUCGUUUUUGUUUGUUUUUUUUUUGGUGGGGGGGAUUGGGUAGAGUUGCUUCCAGAGCACCUUUCCAACCUAAAUUAUUCUGAUUUUAUGUCUAUGCUUCUUCCACUUUGCAGAAAUAACUGAAUGUGCCAGAAAAUUACAGCCAUAGAUUUAGAGACAGUAUCUAUUUAUAUGCCAGACUGAGUACUGCAAAUGCUUUGCCUACCAUUUUACAUGCUUUAAGAAGGAAUAGGCAAGGUAGGCAAUAAGAACUGACAGGACAUUCACCUGCUGCAUAUGUAGUUCACCCAAAGGUCAAACUCAUAAUCCAAGUACUAUCCAUUAACUAAAUAGUUACAUCAAGAAGACAUCUGAGGUAUCUAACUCUUCAGUGAGAGCAUAAGGAAACAUCUAGAGAUACCAGAAUCCCAAGUAAAUGAAGAAGCCAGUUAACUGAUAUCUUUUGUGUCCACCUUAUUUGGAAGUCCACCUUUUCAUUUUCCACUGACUAGACAACAAACUGACAAGGCUAACACAGCUGUCCAGUAACAAAGACAAAGAUUUAAAGGAACAAAAAUGCUUAAAAAUACAGCCAACAGAAAGAUGUCCGUGCGCACAGUGGCAUAUCUUCCAGGUCUCAAACAAACUGAUACCACUCAAAGGUGCUGCAAAGAAGAAAAGGCCCAGGCCAUCCUCUUGAGAUUCUCUUCCACGGGAGCAGAAGACAGACAACAAUCAACAGAGUCUAGUUUACAGAAAUCGUUUUAAUGCAGUACCGAUCUGCCUUCCAUGGGGAUGGAAUUCACAGUUCAGAUGUCCUCUGCCCCAAUAGAAAAGGGACGACCUUUAGAAGACCCAACACCAUCAAAAGGACAGGAAGCAAUAGAAAAAAGUUUGAGAGGUGUAAAUUGGAUACAAAAUCUAUGAGGCUCAUAUCAAGGUGCCAAAGAUAGGGAUGAAAAAACAGACAAACAAGCAAACAUUGUUUUAUUAGGCAAAAACAGAAAAUAACCUUGCAACAUUCAACAGAGCUGGAAUUACUGAAAACUGUUAAGACACUGAAGUUAUAUUUAAGGAAGCUUCAAGUGAGCGCUGAAGAAUGGUGCUUUGUCAAAAAAAAAAGAUAUUAUUUAUUUUUGCACUAUAGACAGCUCAGGAGAACAGGAUAAUUAAUGUUUAUGGAUCAGUAUCCUAAGAGAUAAAGCAUACAUGUGAACCUGUUAGAUCAAAACAUAAAAUGAGGGAAAAAAAUUAUCUUUCACAGAGGACUUCAGCCCAGUGAUAUGUACUGGAUAUGCUGCCAUCAUCAACUGAAAUUUCUAAAUAUCACACAACUUCUUAACUGAAAAUGAAGGAAGUAACCUGUGUAAAUGUUUUUUAGUCUUCCAGAUGUCAGUCUCAGAUGAACUAACAGAAUGGUCAAUACAAAAGUCAUUAACAAUGAAUUAAAGGUGAAAAUAUAACUUAUAUGUCUGCAAAAUAGAUCCUGUCAAGCUAAGCUGACGUCAUUUCUUGAUUGGAUGACUUUUCUGGAUGCAGGAAAUAGUUAAAUGUAAAUCCACGAAUGGCAUUUUGAUAAACAAAAUAUAAAGAUCUAGACAUGGCACAAAAGGAUGGUUGCCUGCAAGCAAUUGUAAGUGACUUAUCACACGAUUUAUCAGAGACAGGUCUCCUGAAGUUCCAAAUAUUUAUUUGCUAUACAUCAUUUUUCCUUAGUAACCAAAAAAAAAAAAAAACAGCACUGUUUACAGAUACUACGAAAUGAGAACAUGUGGUAAAUUUGAACUGGCAUAUCAGCUGGGAGCAAGCAAAUAAUAUAUUCAGGUUAACCAUGUCCAGAGGCAAAGUGGACUACAUCUUAGUGUAAAUCAUUGCUGAGGAUAGCAUAACCCCACUAGGAGGUUAGUCAUGGUCCAGGUGGUUACUUCACUUUAAAUGUAGCGCCACUGGCCAAGGAGGGGAUAUAAGCAGGGAGUUCAGUGGUUACAGGCAACUAACACACAGGAUUUGCUUAUAAUGUCCCGGCCAGAUCCAGAUAGGUGAAAGAUGGAUGGAAGAGGCAGCAGGUGAAAACUAAAGCCCUUACAUGGCUAGCAGGAGACCACUAUUGUGCAUGUUUAUCAUAUAGCUCCUUAUCCGUUUCAUCUACAUUGCUGAAAGCUUUGAACUUACUCUCUAAAUACAUCUUUUAAUACAACCUAGCAUAACAGUACAACUGGGAACAAAGAACACAAGACAUGUUCUUUGUAAACAGAAGAAAGUCUGCCCUGCUUAAAUGAAAGUUAUCACUCUGAAGAUUAGCCAAAAAGGCUAACCUCAGGAUAACAGUGUCAACCUUUUUUAGAUUUCACUGUUCAGUUCUGAUAAUCAGAUAUGAAGAAGAAUAUUAAAGAGAAUUCAAAGAGUUAUGAGAGUUAUUAAAGCAUUCGAAGAUAUACUUUGAAGCUCAGGGAGAUCAACCAGAUGACAUUGUAUGAGAGAAGUCAGGGGAUAUUUGUAUUUGUCUUUAAAUAUUAGAAACAAAUAACAGCUUCUUCAAUCUAGUAAACAAAAGCUAGUGACUGCAAAUGUAAGGGAAAUACAUUCUGAGCAAAAACAUAUACAUAUUUUUACUUCUCUUUUGGAAGAGUGAGAACACUGGAACAGUUUAUCAUCAUAAGUUCACCAUCACUAGGAAAUUUAAAAUCACAAGUGUGUGUUUUAUUUUGAAUUCUAUUUCAAUUUUUUUUUUUGGAACCCUUCGAAUUCCAUUUUAUAUUAUAGAAAAGGAAAAAAAUGAUGACUGCAGUGGAACCCCUUGCUUUUACAAUGAAAGAUCUAAAGAAAAAUUUCAUGGCGUCGCAUUAAAAAUAUCUAAUUAGAUUUGCAAAGAUUAUAGAUAAAAUAGGGUAUUAAAAAAAAAAAAAACCCUCCUGAAAAGUCCUCUCAUGGAGGAAAUUAGUUUACAGCCUUCAAUUAUCUCCAAAAAAAGUGGAGAGGGUGCUUAAUAGAUCACAUUCCCAAAUAUUCUUAGAUAUAAAUUAUGGAUGUGUGCAUUUGUGUGCAUGCAGUUACACAACUUCAGAAGUCAAAAAGAUCAAAUUAUUUACUCAGUAUUUCUGUGUUGACAUCUGACAUUCCAAAGAAUCACUGCAAAGAUUGAAUGAACAUAUUUGAUACUUUCUGACUACUGACUACUUCUGAGAAACUACUCAUGCCUACUCAUGACUACUCUUCUCAUGACUGCUUCUGAGAAAUUGGUACAGGUAUGGUACCUUUGAGCUGAAUUUACAACAGGACAUAUUCAGACAAAUUCUAAUCAAAAUUUAACUUAGUGUCAGGAAAGUAUUUCUACUAUUGUUGAAGGUUAUUCUUCCUACGAGAGAAGGGAAAAAAAUAUUUAUGUUUUACAGAAUAAGUUACUAGCUGAUUUGUUUCAGUUUUUAAUAUUCAUGUCAUUUAUAGAUAACAUAUUUAUAGGAAGCAGCUCUUUAUCCAUCAUGCAUCCUUCACUGGACUGAUCAAUACAAAAGCAAACCAUUUUAACUAUAAGAUUAGACAAUAGUUUCUUAAAAGAAUUCUGGAUCAGUUUUUACUUAGCUCGAAGAUGUAUCAAUAUUCAUGGAUUUAAAUUUGACUGAAAGGUUUGAUUUGAUUCAAGGGCUUGUUUGGAUAUAUUUUUCCCCCAACAUCCUUCAGGAGGAUGCUAACUGAAUUAAUGAUAGCAUUAAAUACAUCUGCCUCUUUUUUCAUUUCUAACAUGUUCAUAAAAAACUGUUCUUUCAACAAAUAAAGGUGAUGAG